GACGAACGCUGGCGGCGUGCUUAACACAUGCAAGUCGAACGGAAAGGCCCUGAUUUUGUGGGGUGCUCGAGUGGCGAACGGGUGAGUAACACGUGAGUAACCUGCCCUUGUUUUUGGGAUAACUUCAGGAAACUGGGGUUAAUAUCGGAUAGGAGAUCAUGCUGCAUGGUGGGGGUUGGAACGUUUCGGCGGUUGGGGAUGGACUCGCGGCUUAUCAGCUUGUUGGUGGGGUAGUGGCUUACCAAGGCUUUGACGGGUCGCCGGCCUGGGAGGGUGAACGGCCACAUUACGACUGAGAUACGGCCCAGACUCCUACGGUAGGCAACGGUGGGAAAUAUUGCACAAUGGGCGGAAGCCUGACGCAGCAACGCCGCGUGCGUAAAGACGUCCUUCUGGGUAUAAACCGCUUUCGCCUGUGACGAAGCGUUAGUGACGGUAAUGGAUAAAGAAGCACCGGCUAACUACGUG
Molecule: ribosomal RNA, 468 nt
Filed under: uncultured bacterium
Lineage: Bacteria
Description: partial 16S ribosomal RNA
Rfam family: Bacterial small subunit ribosomal RNA
Source: RNAcentral